AGUGAACGCUGGCGGCAGGCCUAACACAUGCAAGUCGAGCGGCAGCGGGUCCCCGCGAGGGGGAUGCCGGCGAGCGGCGGACGGGUGAGGAACACAUCGGAAUCUGCCUGGUUGUGGGGGAUAACGUAGGGAAACUUACGCUAAUACCGCAUGCGACCCUGAGUCGACGGACUGGGGGUGAAAGUGAGGGACCUUCGGGCCUCACGCGACCAGAUGAGCCGAUGUCGGAUUAGCUAGUUGGCGGGGUAACGGCCCGCCAAGGCGACGAUCCGUAGCUGGUCUGAGAGGAUGAUCAGCCACACUGGGACUGAGACACGGCCCAGACUCCUACGGGAGGCAGCAGUGGGAAUCUUGGACAAUGGGCGCAAGCCUGAUCCAGCCAUGCCGC
This 388-nucleotide ribosomal RNA is filed under the name uncultured bacterium. RNAcentral's name for it is "bacterial SSU rRNA". It matches the Rfam family "Bacterial small subunit ribosomal RNA", at positions 30 to 400 of the family's 1533-position model. The record is from RNAcentral.